GACGAACGCUGGCGGCGUGCCUAAUACAUGCAAGUCGAACGCUUCUUUCCUCCCGAGUGCUUGCACUCAAUUGGAAAGAGGAGUGGCGGACGGGUGAGUAACACGUGGGUAACCUACCCAUCAGAGGGGGAUGACACUUGGAAACAGGUGCUAAUACCGCAUAACAGUUUAUGCCGCAUGGCAUAAGAGUGAAAGGCGCUUUCGGGUGUCGCUGAUGGAUGGACCCGCGGUGCAUUAGCUAGUUGGUGAGGUAACGGCUCACCAAGGCCACGAUGCAUAGCCGACCUGAGAGGGUGAUCGGCCACACGGGGACUGAGACACGGCCCAGACUCCUACGGGAGGCAGCAGUAGGGAAUCUUCGGCAAUGGACGAAAGUCUGACCGAGCAACGCCGCGUGAGUGAAGAAGGUUUUCGGAUCGUAAAACUCUGUUGUUAGAGAAGAACAAGGACGUUAGUAACUGAACGUCCCCUGACGGUAUCUAACCAGAAAGCCACGGCUAACUACGUG
RNAcentral lists this ribosomal RNA (508 nucleotides) under uncultured bacterium. RNAcentral describes it as "partial 16S ribosomal RNA". It matches the Rfam family "Bacterial small subunit ribosomal RNA", at positions 28 to 507 of the family's 1533-position model. The record is from RNAcentral.